This 352-nucleotide unclassified non-coding RNA is filed under the name soil metagenome. Its description in RNAcentral is "partial contains 5.8S ribosomal RNA, internal transcribed spacer 2, and large subunit ribosomal RNA". The stretch from base 1 to 120 matches the Rfam family "5.8S ribosomal RNA", at positions 35 to 154 of the family's 154-position model. The record is from RNAcentral.
GAUGAAGAACGUAGCGAAAUGCGAUAAGUAAUGUGAAUUGCAGAAUUCAGUGAAUCAUCGAAUCUUUGAACGCACAUUGCGCCCGCCAGUAUUCUGGCGGGCAUGCCUGUUCGAGCGUCAUUACAACCCUCAGGCCCCCGGGCCUGGCGUUGGGGAUCGGCGGAGCCCCCCGUGGGCACACGCCGUCCCCCAAAUGCAGUGGCGGUCCCGCCGCAGCUUCCAUCGCGUAGUAGCUAACACCUCGCGACUGGAGAGCGGCGCGGCCACGCCGUAAAACACCCAACUUCUGAACGUUUGACCUCGGAUCAGGUAGGAAUACCCGCUGAACUUAAGCAUAUCAAUAAGCGGAGGA